GACGAACGCUGGCGGCAUGCCUAAUACAUGCAAGUCGAGCGAACAGAUGAAGUGCUUGCGCUUCUGACGUUAGCGGCGAACGGGUGAGUAACACGUAAGGAAUCUACCUAUAAGCGGGGGAUAACAUUCGGAAACGGGUGCUAAUACCGCAUAAUAUCUUCUUCCGCAUGGAAGAAGAUUGAAAGACGGCUCUGCUGUCACUUAUAGAUGACCUUGCGGUGCAUUAGUUAGUUGGUGGGGUAAUGGCCUACCAAGACGAUGAUGCAUAGCCGACCUGAGAGGGUGAUCGGCCACAUUAGGACUGCGACACGGCCCAAACUCCUACGGGAGGCAGCAGUAGGGAAUCUUCCGCAAUGGGCGAAAGCCUGACGGAGCAAUGCCGCGUGAGUGAAGAAGGCCUUCGGGUCGUAAAACUCUGUUAUAAGAGAAGAACAAAUUGUAGAGUAACUGCUACAGUCUUGACGGUAUCUUAUCAGAAAGCCACGGCUAACUACGUGCCAGCCGCCGCGGUAA
Molecule: ribosomal RNA, 513 nt
Filed under: uncultured bacterium
Lineage: Bacteria
Description: partial 16S ribosomal RNA
Rfam family: Bacterial small subunit ribosomal RNA
Source: RNAcentral